RNAcentral lists this ribosomal RNA (448 nucleotides) under uncultured bacterium. RNAcentral's name for it is "bacterial SSU rRNA". It matches the Rfam family "Bacterial small subunit ribosomal RNA", at positions 330 to 792 of the family's 1533-position model. The record is from RNAcentral.
UCCAGACUCCUACGGGAGGCAGCAGUGGGGAAUAUUGGGCAAUGGGCGCAAGCCUGACCCAGCAACGCCGCGUGAAGGAAGAAGGCUUUCGGGUUGUAAACUUCUUUUCUCAGGGACGAAGAAAGUGGCGGUACCUGAGGAAUAAGCCACGGCUAACUACGUGCCAGCAGCCGCGGUAAUACGUAGGGGGCAAGCGGUAUCCGGAUUUACUGGGUGUAAAGGGAGCGUAGACGGCUAAUCAAGUCAGAAGUGAAAACCCAGGGCUCAACCUUGGGACUGCUUUUGAAACUGAGUAGCUAGAGUGCAGGAGAGGUAAGCGGAAUUCCUAGUGUAGCGGUGAAAUGCGUAGAUAUUAGGAGGAACACCAGUGGCGAAGGCGGCUUACUGGACUGUAACUGACGUUGAGGCUCGAAAGCGUGGGGAGCAAACAGGAUUAGAUACCCGAGUA